Caretta caretta (loggerhead turtle) is the source of this 2481-nucleotide non-coding RNA. NCBI's taxonomy places the organism in Eukaryota, Metazoa, Chordata, Testudines, Cheloniidae. The record is from RefSeq and is a predicted model, not a curated record.
UAUAUAUAUAUAUAUAUACACACACAUACGUACACACACACACACACGCACAUUUUUUUGGAAGAUCACUACAACGUCAAUCUGUGGACUUCUUUUAUUGCUAAAAUAUGCCCUGGGGAAUAGUAGGAAAACCUAGAAAAACCUUCACAAGAAGUGGUAUCACCUGCCUGCCAGUCAGAAGGUUAGUGAGGUACUGUGAUCAAAGCAAAGGAGUUAGUAUCUCAAAGAAGCUUUGUCUCAGCACGCGAGGAGUGUCUGAUACAACAGACUCCUUCAUAGUCACAGACGUGGCUUCAGUAGAUGCUCUUCUAGACACAGAAGCCGAUGAUGCAACUGAUUUCCCUGGAUGACUUUUGCAUACCCUGGGAGAAAAUGGGUAGCCCAAGAAAUGUUUGGAUCAUCAGAGAGAACAGCUGUAGAAGACCAAAUAAUAGCACGUGAAAUAAGGGUCUCGAAGAAAAUUGACUGACAUAUUGAUGGCAGUAAACAUUGGUAUUUCAGACUUGAGUUACUUCAGGUAGCAAAAAUGGGAAAUAAAAAUUCUGCAAUGUCAGACAGGAUUCAGAGUAGCAGCCGUGUUAGUCUGUAUCCACAAAAAGAAAAGGAGGACUUGUGGCACCUUAGAGACUAACACAUCCAGAGUGCAAUUUUGCAGUCUGAAAAAACACCUUGCACCCUUUCUGUUGACAACCUCUUUUUCUUAUGUACUUGCUUCAAAACUUCCUGAAAUAUCUCACUAAAGUUCCACUUUUGAGUAAUGGAACUCCUCCAGGAGGACGUGAUUACUAAAUGAGUUCUUUUUUGGAAUGAGACACAAAUGUGUGUUAAUAGCUUUUAAAAAAAAUGUAUGGGUCUUUUGUAAACUAAUAAACAUGUAUUUAAUAUGUUUGUAAAUAAUGCUUGAGCCUUUAUUAUAUAAAUACUACCAAGAGAAUAGUACCCUUUCAGUAGGGUAGCCCUUCCAAAGUCCACCUGCACUGGGGGCAAUGAUUGAGCUGAAUAGGGUUGUAAAGCUGUGUAUCUUUCAUGCUGAAAUGAGUCUCCCCAUUCUUUUGAACUAUGUCAUUUUAAGGAUGGAAAAUACAAUGAAACAAACUAAAUAAGAAUCCUAUGGUAUGCCAGAGAACAGAUUUGUCAACCCUGUGGGCAUGCUGCAAACCCCAUCUUCCUCUCCUAUGUUAGGCUAUAGAGGAGGGUGUGGGUUGGAAAAAAUAUAUUUAGGGGCAAUCUUUGAUUUAUAUUGUGAUUUGUAACUUAUGGGAUGGGUUACUUUGAGCACUGGAUGGACACCUUUCAUUGUGCAGUAAUAUGUGCAGUAAUAAAUAAUACAAAAGCUCCAAGUUCAGUAUUUUUUUAAAAGCGCAAAACCAUGUCAGUUUCCAUUUAAAAGCAGUUUUCCACCAGAAAUGUCUCCAACCAACUCACCCCAAUAGCUAGAAGACUGAAACAAAGAAAUCAUACCUGACUAUCACAGCUUCUGGUUCCACACUCUUUCAGGCAGGGUUAGCACCUGCUCAGGAAUUCUGUUCUUGAUUCUUCUGUGCUUACUGCCUUGUUUGGCGUACCUUGUAAAGCCACAGUUACAGAAAUACGGAGAUACUGCAUUACUUUGUUUGCAUACUGCUACCUUCUUUUCCCUUCAGCCCCAAAGAUUUCCCAUCAUCCUCCCUUUCUCUGUCUCCCUCCUCAAGUUUCUUCCUCCCCAACAUCCAUGGCUUGUUUUUCCCCAUUCAGACACUCCUGUUUCCCUCCAUAACAUACUAACUAUAUAGACUCUUCCUAAGGCAUGGUCCCUAACCUACACAUGAUUACGGAGAUGUGGCUUUAGUGAUUACUUCACACUAUGCAGUGCUACAUCCAUGUGAUUAGAUUAGGGACCAUUCUCCAAACUCCUGGAGGACUCUGAACAGUCUUUAUAGCUUAGAGUCCUAGGACAUACCUAAAGGACUCAAAAUAUAGAGAUUGCAGCUUGGAGCACCUCUCCCUCACGCCCCAGCUCUUCCAGCAAAAACAGGAGAUAAAGGCAGGGCCGGCUCUAGGCACCAGCAAAACAAGCAGGUGCUUGGGGCAGCGCAUUUCUAGGGGCGGCAUCCUGGCGCCGGCCAUGCCGCCCCUAGAAAUGUGCCCCCGCCGCCCCAGCUCGCCUCCACUCCACCUCUGCCCACUCCCCUGAGCAUGCCGCCGCCUCUCCGCUUCUCCCCCCUCCCUCCCAGGCUUGCCGUUUCGCACGGGGGAGGCAGCAGUGGUGGAGCGGAGGUGAGCUGGGGCAGGGAGCGGUUCCUCUUCCCCCCCUCCGUUACUUCCUGCGCUCUCCCCCACCCCCGCUCCCCUCGGCUCCGCCUGCUCCCCUGAACGCGCUGCCUCUCCCUUGCCUGAGAGGGAAGGGGGAGAAGCAGAGCAGCGGCAUGUUCAGGGGAGCAGGCGGAGUGGAGGUGAGCUGUUGCGGGGCGGAGCCACAGGAAGCAAUGGGGGGGGGGAAUG